GACGAACGCUGGCGGCGUGCCUAACACAUGCAAGUCGAACGGGGUGAUUCCUUCGGGGAUCACUUAGUGGCGAACGGGUGAGUAACGCGUGAGGAACCUGCCUUUCAGUGGGGGACAACAGUUGGAAACGACUGCUAAUACCGCAUAAGCGCACAGGGUCGCAUGACCUGGUGUGAAAAGUUUUUCGGNGUAAGAUGGACUCGCGUCUGAUUAGCUAGUUGGUGAGGUAACGGCCCACCAAGGCAACGAUCAGUAGCCGACUUGAGAGAGUGAUCGGCCACAUUGGGACUGAGACACGGCCCAAACUCCUACGGAGGCAGCAGUGGGGAAUAUUGCACAAUGGGGGAAACCCUGAUGCAGCGACGCCGCGUGAGCGAAGAAGUAUUUCGGUAUGUAAAGCUCUAUCAGCAAGGAAGAUAAUGACGGUACUUGACUAAGAAGCCCCGG
Molecule: ribosomal RNA, 447 nt
Filed under: uncultured bacterium
Lineage: Bacteria
Description: bacterial SSU rRNA
Rfam family: Bacterial small subunit ribosomal RNA
Source: RNAcentral